Long non-coding RNA from Brienomyrus brachyistius, 750 nucleotides. RefSeq lists it as uncharacterized. The record is from RefSeq and is a predicted model, not a curated record. The transcript is spliced from 3 exons. NCBI's taxonomy places the organism in Eukaryota, Metazoa, Chordata, Actinopteri, Osteoglossiformes, Mormyridae.
CACUGAGCGAGGUUCGAAGCUGCGAUCUGCCGAUCGCAAGAAUGUUGACUGGACGGACGCUCUGCGGGUAGUGCCACCCAUCCAUCCCCGACCCACCGUCCCUUAUAGACCUUGUUUUAUAACGGUCGACGCGACAGCAAAGAGAGAAACUGCACCCAGCGAGGUUCGAAGCUGCGAUCUGCCGAUCGCAAGAAUGUUGACUGGACGGACGCUCUGCGGGUAGUGCCACCCAUCCAUCCCCGACCCACCGUCCCCCUUAGGCCGUGUUAUAUAAGGCUCUGCCGGUCGACGCGACAGCAAAGAAAAACAGCCCCGAGAGAGGUUCGAAGCUGCGAUCUGCCGAUCGCAAGAAUGUUGACUGGACGGACGCUCUGCGGGUAGUGCCACCCAUCCAUCCCCGACCCACCGUCCCCCUUAGGCCGUGUUAUAUAAGGCUCUGCCGGUCGACGCGACAGCAAAGAAAAACAGCCCCGAGAGAGGUUCGAAGCUGCGAUCUGCCGAUCGCAAGAAUGUUGACUGGACGGACGCUCUGCGGGUAGUGCCACCCAUCCAUCCCCGACCCACCGUCCCUUAUAGACCUUGUUUUAUAACGGUCGACGCGACAGCAAAGAGAGAAACUGCACCCAGCGAGGUUCGAAGCUGCGAUCUGCCGAUCGCAAGAAUGAUGACGGGACGGACGCUCUGCGGGUAGUGCCACCCAACCAACCCCGACCCACUGUCCCUCUUAGGCCGUGUUAUUAAGGCUGUCGA